Molecule: ribosomal RNA, 2355 nt
Filed under: Paratanais malignus
Lineage: Eukaryota; Metazoa; Arthropoda; Malacostraca; Tanaidacea; Paratanaidae
Description: small subunit ribosomal RNA
Rfam family: Eukaryotic small subunit ribosomal RNA
Source: RNAcentral
CCUGGUUGAUCCUGCCAGUAGUGUAUGCUUGUCUCAAAGAUUAAGCCAUGCAUGUGUGAGUGCAAGCCUUCAUUAACGGUGAAACCGCGAAUGGCUCAUUAAAUCAGUCAUAAUCCGUUGGACUUCAUGGAACCCAGUGUCCUUACUCGGAUAACUGUGGUAAUUCUAGAGCUAAUACGUGCCACGAGUUCCCAAAGUGUCUUCUCUCCUUCGCGGGUGAGAGCAUCAGUAGGACGCAAUUAUUAGAACCAAAAAUUGUACCGGGGUUUAUUCUUUCUGGUGCGUUUUUCGUACGCAGGAGGGACCCUACUUGGUGUAAAAUUUGGUGAAUCUGGAUAAUACCCUUUAGCAGAGCGCUUAGGCCUUUCGUGCCGGCGCUUGACCUUUGAAGAGUCUGCCCUAUCAGCUAGAUUGUAGAUUAAAUGUCUACAAUGGCUAUAACGGGUAACGGGGAAUCAGGGUUCGAUUCCGGAGAGGGAGCCUGAGAAACGGCUACCACAUCUAAGGAAGGCAGCAGGCACGCAAAUUGCUCAAUCUUAGCUCGAGGAAGCAGUGACAAAAUAUCUUGAUGCGGGACUCUUCCGAGGCCUCGCAAUCAGGAUGCGUUUACUUUAAAACAGUAAACUGAACGCAAUUGGAGGGCAAGUCUGGUGCCAGCAGCCGCGGUAAUUCCAGCUCCAAUAGCGUACAUUUAAGUUGCUGCGGUUAAAAAGCUCGUAGUUGGACUUUAUACUCAGGCAGUCGGCCCACUCUCCUGCUUUUCGGGCGUGCGACUCCUUUCUGCGUUGCUUUUCUUUCGCCACGUGCGUUAAAAAGGUCGCGAAUGUUUUGGGAAGCCGUCUAUUGCAGGUGUUUAGUUUGGUUUUCCUGGCUGUGACUGAGUGUAUAUGAGACCGUCGAUCANCUUUUUUGUACCGCUGUUGCAAGUUCACGGUGCCCUUUACUGGUGUGUCCGUCUUGCAUCACGUACAGUUACAUCCGUCGGCCGUUACACCGUAACACAAUUGUUGCUGCGGAGGUUGGCGUGAUGGAAAGUUAUCGACUCGAUCACUUUGAAAAAAUUAGAGUGCUCAAAGCAGGCCUCAUUGCAUAAUUGCCUGAAUGGUAGUGCAUGGAAUGAUGGAAGAUGAUCUCUACCUAGUUUAAAAGUAUCUUUUUAUACCAAUGUGGCGCGGCAUUCGUGUCGUUCGUCGGUACGUUAAGAUUCUAGGUUUGAGAUAAUGAUUAAAGGGAACUGCCGGGGGCGUUUGUAUUACGGCGCUAGAGGUGAAAUUCUUGGACCGUCGUAAGACAAACUACUGCGAAAGCAUUCGCCAAGAAUGUUUUCAUUAAUCAAGAACGAAAGUUAGAGUUUAGAAGGAGAUCAGAUACCUCCCUAUUUCUAACCGUAAACUAUGCUAACCGGUUGUCCGUCGGAAGUCAUUUCCGAGACUGGACGAGCGACCCCGGGGAAACCAGAGUUUCUGAGUUCCGGGGGAAGUAUGGUUGCAAAGCUGAAACUUAAAGGAAUUGACGGAAGGGCACCACCAGGAGUGGAGCCUGCGGCUUAAUUUGACUCAACACGGGAAAACUCACCAGGCCCAGAAACAUUUAGGAUUGACAGAUUGAAAGCUCUUUCAUGAUUAUGAGGAUGGUGGUGCAUGGCCGUUCUUAGUUGGUGGAGCGAUCUGUCUGGUUAAUUCCGAUAACGAACGAGAUUCUCGUUUACUAAAUAGAAGGUAGAUCUGAUCCCGAAAGCUUUUUUGCUCUUUAUUCCCCGAGGUGUCGGGGCUGGACGACUUUUCUUAUCGUGGCUCGUGCUCGCUGCUUUCGUGAAGGGAAACCGGAACGUUUGUGGUGUUGUGUGGGUCGCGUGGAAGGUCUGAAACUCUGAUUUAUGCCGAAGGGAGGGGUGAAGCUUAUGUCGGGUAGUCUAUCAAUUCCGUUUCUUCUUAGAAAAAUCAAUGGUGCUCUAAUCAGUUGACAGGAAGAGCAAUAACAGGUCUGUGAUGCCCUUAGAUGUUCUGGGCCGCACGCGCGCUACAAUGCACGGUGCAACACGUCCCCCUUCUCCUAAUGGAGUGGGUAACCGGUUGAAAUCCGUGCCUACUUGGGAUUGGGGCUUGCAAAUAUUUCCCAUAAACGAGGAAUUCCCAGUAAGCGUUGGCUCAUUUAAGUCGCGCUGAUUACGUCCCUGCCCUUUGUACACACCGCCCGUCGCUACUACCGAUUGAAUGAUUCAGUGAGAACAUUGGACUGUCGUCCUAUGCACUUUCGUGCUUGAAGGGCUGACGGGAAGAUGUUCAAACUUGAUCAUUUAGAGGAAGUAAAAGUCGUAACAAGGUUUCCGUAGGUGAACCUGCGGAAGGAUCAUUA